This 468-nucleotide ribosomal RNA is filed under the name uncultured bacterium. RNAcentral describes it as "partial 16S ribosomal RNA". It matches the Rfam family "Bacterial small subunit ribosomal RNA", at positions 28 to 507 of the family's 1533-position model. The record is from RNAcentral.
GACGAACGCUGGCGGCGUGCUUAACACAUGCAAGUCGAACGGAAAGGCCCUGCUUUUGUGGGGUGCUCGAGUGGCGAACGGGUGAGUAACACGUGAGUAACCUGCCCUUGACUUUGGGAUAACUUCAGGAAACUGGGGCUAAUACCUGAUAGGAGCUCCUGCUGCAUGGUGGUGGUUGGAAAGUUUCGUCGGUUGGGGAUGGACUCGCGGCUUAUCAGCUUGUUGGUGGGGUAGUGGCUUACCAAGGCUUUGACGGGUAGCCGGCCUGAGAGGGUGACCGGCCACAUUGGGACUGAGAUACGGCCCAGACUCCUACGGGAGGCAGCAGUGGGGAAUAUUGCACAAUGGGCGGAAGCCUGAUGCAGCAACGCCGCGUGCGGGAUGACGGCCUUCGGGUUGUAAACCGCUUUCGCCUGUGACGAAGCGUGAGUGACGGUAAUGGGUAAAGAAGCACCGGCUAACUACGUG